This is a long non-coding RNA of Physeter macrocephalus (sperm whale), 1198 nucleotides long. RefSeq lists it as uncharacterized. The record is from RefSeq and is a predicted model, not a curated record. Lineage: Eukaryota; Metazoa; Chordata; Mammalia; Artiodactyla; Physeteridae. The transcript has 3 exons.
CUGAGACAUCCUAGAAAUGUCAGCUAGGCAGCUGGAUAGAGGGACCAACGUCCAGGGGAGCAGCUGGGUGGGACGUGUGAAUUUGGGAGUCAUCAGCAUAAAGAUGGUAUUUGAGGCCGUGAUCCUGCACGAGAUCACUGAGGGAGUGUGGACAGGGAAGAGAACCUAGGCUGCUCAGAUCAAGAGGUCAGGGAGAUGAGGAGGAAUGACCGGGGAGGCCAGAGGAGAACCGGACAAGGGCGUGUCCCGGAGUGGAGGAGGGGGCUGGACUCUGUCAGCGCUGCUGAUUGAGCAGGAGGAAGAGGGCUGAGGGCUGCCCAGCCAGUGGAGAACAGCGUGGCAUCGCUAAGGACUGCCCUUGGCCAGAGCAGUUCGGGGACGCAGUGGGAGCAAAAGUCUAACGGGUUCAAGAAAGGGAAGGAGGACAGAAGUUGGAGAGUGUGGCAGAGACACCCGCUUGUCAGCUGACGGGAACGAGCCAGUGGAGAAGGAGGCAGGAUGAUGGAGCUGGGGCGGGUGAGGGCGAUGAUGAGCCGCCAAUUAUCAGCGACUACGCUGGGUCGGCUGGGUCUCGGGAGAGGUCCUCCCGCCCCCCUCCCAGCUGCAGGCCCCCUUAAGUGUUCGAAGGAAAGAGGAGGGUGGUUCUCUCCUGCUGCUGAACUUACCCAUUUGUGGGCACGCUCAGCAGCAAAGGGUUUGGAAUAUUCGAAAAACAGAAAAGGCAGGGGUGGCUGCCUCCAGGUCCUUUGUUCUGGUAUUCCCUCUACCUAGAAUGCUCUUCCCCCAGUCCUUCAAAAAGCUGGCUUCUUGCAGUUUGGGCCUCAGCUGGAGACGGUCAGAGAGGCCUUCCCUGGCGCUGAGCUGAAGGAGGCUGCCCGAUGGCCCUCUCCGAAAGCCUCUUCACUGUGGUGACGCUCAGCGGGCUCUGACAGUGCCUUGCUUCUCACUUGCGUGCACCGUGCCACCGUCCCGCACUAGAGCGUAAGCUGCGCGAGGUGGGGACCGUGACUCCGGGCCACCCCCGGAGUGGUAUGUGGCCCAUACCACCAGAGGUAUUCUGGCACAGAGCAGGCCUUCAGUAUGUGUUGCGGGAUGAAUAAGGAGCCCCUGGUCAGAAGAUGAUAAGAGAGGGGCACUGUGCUGAUGUCACCAGGCUGCAGAGCAUGGGGACUUCUCCUUAACCUGGCACACCCCAGGG